Molecule: long non-coding RNA, 679 nt
Organism: Oncorhynchus keta (chum salmon)
Lineage: Eukaryota; Metazoa; Chordata; Actinopteri; Salmoniformes; Salmonidae
Exons: 4
Source: RefSeq, a predicted model, not a curated record
GGAACACUGUCCAGACUCACUGUCUCCUGAUGCUGAGGACACAGGACAGGUUACAUACAGUAUUAUACAGAUAUAUGAUGUGUAACACUGUCCAGACUCACUGUCUCCUGAUGCUGAGGACACAGGACAGGUUACAUACAGUAUUAUACAGAUAUAUGAUGUGGAACACUGUCCAGACUCACUGUCUCCUGAUGCUGAGGACACAGGACAGGUUACAUACAGUAUUAUACAGAUAUAUGAUGUGGAACACUGUCCAGACUCACUGUCUCCUGAUGCUGAGGACACAGGACAGGUUACAUACAGUAUUAUACAGAUAUAUGAUGUGGAACACUGUCCAGACUCACUGUCUCCUGAUGCUGAGGACACAGGACAGGUUACAUACAGUAUUAUACAGAUAUAUGAUGUGGAACACUGUCCAGACUCACUGUCUCCUGAUGCUGAGGACACAGGACAGGUUACAUACAGUAUUAUACAGAUAUAUGAUGUGUAACACUGUCCAGACUCACUGUCUCCUGAUGCUGAGGACACAGGACAGGUUACAUACAGUAUUAUACAGAUAUAUGAUGUGGAACACUGUCCAGACUCACUGUCUCCUGAUGCUGAGGACACAGGACAGGUUACAUACAGUAUUAUACAGAUAUAUGAUGUGGAACACUGUCCAGACUCACUGUCUCCUGAU